This 512-nucleotide ribosomal RNA is filed under the name uncultured Actinomycetes bacterium. RNAcentral describes it as "bacterial SSU rRNA". It matches the Rfam family "Bacterial small subunit ribosomal RNA", at positions 376 to 896 of the family's 1533-position model. The record is from RNAcentral. Lineage: Bacteria; Bacillati; Actinomycetota; Actinomycetes.
CGGAAAGCCUGACGCAGCAACGCCGCGUGCAGGAUGACGGCCUUCGGGUUGUAAACCGCUUUCAGCAGGGACGAAUUUUGACGGUACCUGCAGAAGAACGCCCCGGCCAACUACGUGCCAGCAGCCGCGGUAACACGGUAGGGGCGAGCGUUGUCCGGAUUUAUUGGGCGUAAAGAGCUCGUAGGCGGCUCGGUAAGUCAACUGUGAAAGCUCCGGGCUCAACUCGGAGAGGCCAGUUGAUACUGCUGUGGCUAGAGUCCGGUAGGGGAGCGUGGAAUUCCUGGUGUAGCGGUGAAAUGCGCAGAUAUCAGGAGGAACACCAGCGGCGAAGGCGGCGCUCUGGGCCGGAACUGACGCUGAGGAGCGAAAGCGUGGGUAGCAAACAGGAUUAGAUACCCUGGUAGUCCACGCCGUAAACGUUGGGCACUAGGUGUGGGUCUCAACCAACGAGAUCCGUGCCGUAGCUAACGCACUAAGUCGCCCCGCCGUGGGGAGUACGGCCGACAAGGACU